This 452-nucleotide ribosomal RNA is filed under the name uncultured bacterium. RNAcentral's name for it is "bacterial SSU rRNA". It matches the Rfam family "Bacterial small subunit ribosomal RNA", at positions 96 to 563 of the family's 1533-position model. The record is from RNAcentral.
UGGCGGACGGGUGAGUAAUGCAUGAGCAACCUGCCCUGCAGUGGGGGACAACAGUUGGAAACGACUGCUAAUACCGCAUGAUGUAUCUGGAAGGCAUCUUCUGGAUACCAAAGAUUUAUCGCUGUGGGAUGGGCUCAUGUCUGAUUAGUUAGUUGGUGGGGUAACGGCCUACCAAGACUGCGAUCAGUAGCCGGACUGAGAGGUUGAACGGCCACAUUGGGACUGAGAUACGGCCCAGACUCCUACGGGAGGCAGCAGUGGGGAAUAUUGGGCAAUGGGCGAAAGCCUGACCCAGCAACGCCGCGUGAAGGAAGAAGGUCUUCGGAUUGUAAACUUCUUUUAUGAGGGACGAAGGAAGUGACGGUACCUCAUGAAUAAGCCACGGCUAACUACGUGCCAGCAGCCGCGGUAAUACGUAGGUGGCAAGCGUUGUCCGGAUUUACUGGGUGUAA